Molecule: ribosomal RNA, 253 nt
Filed under: uncultured bacterium
Lineage: Bacteria
Description: partial 16S ribosomal RNA
Rfam family: Bacterial small subunit ribosomal RNA
Source: RNAcentral
UACGAAGGGGGCUAGCGUUGCUCGGAAUCACUGGGCGUAAAGGGUGCGUAGGCGGGUCUUUAAGUCAGGGGUGAAAUCCUGGAGCUCAACUCCAGAACUGCCUUUGAUACUGAGGAUCUUGAGUUCGGGAGAGGUGAGUGGAACCGCGAGUGUAGAGGUGAAAUUCGUAGAUAUUCGCAAGAACACCAGUGGCGAAGGCGGCUCACUGGCCCGGUACUGACGCUGAGGUGCGAAAGCGUGGGGAGCAAACAGG